This 122-nucleotide ribosomal RNA is filed under the name Penicillium egyptiacum. Lineage: Eukaryota; Fungi; Ascomycota; Eurotiomycetes; Eurotiales; Aspergillaceae. The record is from RNAcentral.
ACAUACGACCAUAGGGUGUGGAAAACAGGGCUUCCCGUCCGCUCAGCCGUACUUAAGCCACACGCCGGUGAGUUAGUAGUUGGGUGGGUGACCACCAGCGAAUCCUCACUGUUGUAUGUAUG